UCCCUGUCCAUCACCAACUCCUGGAGCUUGCUCAAACUCAUGUCCAUCGAAUCAAUGAUACCUUGUUGUUAUUUAAUCCUUAGUGCAGAGUUUAAGCUGAGGUACUUUGUUGUGUGAUCAUCAGCUCUGGGCUUAAAGAAAAAAAUGU
This is a long non-coding RNA of Cervus elaphus (red deer), 148 nucleotides long. RefSeq lists it as uncharacterized. The transcript is spliced from 3 exons. The record is from RefSeq and is a predicted model, not a curated record. NCBI's taxonomy places the organism in Eukaryota, Metazoa, Chordata, Mammalia, Artiodactyla, Cervidae.